UGGGGAAUAUUGCGCAAUGGGGGGAACCCUGACGCAGCAACGCCGCGUGGAGGAAGAAGGUCUUCGGAUUGUAAACUCCUGUCUUCUGGGAAGAUAAUGACGGUACCAGAGGAGGAAGCCACGGCUAACUACGUGCCAGCAGCCGCGGUAAUACGUAGGUGGCGAGCGUUGUCCGGAAUUACUGGGCGUAAAGGGCGCGUAGGCGGCUUUUUAAGUUAGAUGUGAAAACCCGGGGCUUAACUUCGGACGUGCAUUUAAAACUGGAGAGCUUGAGUGCAGGAGAGGUAAGUGGAAUUCCUAGUGUAGCGGUGAAAUGCGUAGAUAUUAGGAGGAACACCAGUGGCGAAGGCGACUUACUGGACUGUAACUGACGCUGAGGCGCGAAAGCGUGGGGAGCAAACAG
RNAcentral lists this ribosomal RNA (403 nucleotides) under uncultured bacterium. RNAcentral's name for it is "bacterial SSU rRNA". It matches the Rfam family "Bacterial small subunit ribosomal RNA", at positions 355 to 775 of the family's 1533-position model. The record is from RNAcentral.